This is a long non-coding RNA of Piliocolobus tephrosceles (Ugandan red Colobus), 1810 nucleotides long. NCBI's taxonomy places the organism in Eukaryota, Metazoa, Chordata, Mammalia, Primates, Cercopithecidae. The record is from Ensembl.
UGAUUAUACAUAUAUAUAUAUAUAUAUAUGUAUUUAAAAGCAUAAUUACAAAGAAAACACGCGUAUAAAACUUCGGUAUAUAUAUGUACCUAUGCAAACGUAAAUAUGAAAAUAGAUCUAGAAUUAAUAAAAAAGAAAAGCGAACAUAAUGAGGGCCUGAUCGAAGAAUUAGAAGAAAUAGCUCUACACCAAUUGCAAAUUAAAAAAAUCGAAUUUAUUAACACUCAUUGUAAAAAUUUAAAAAUAUUACUACUACAAAACAAUCUAAUAGAAAAAAUUGAAAAUGUAAAUUGUUUAAAAAAAUUAGAAUAUUUAAAUCUCGCAUUAAAUAAUAUAACUCUUAUUGAGAAUUUAGAAAAAUGUGAAUCGUUAAGAAAGGUACGAAAAAGAAAAAAGUCAAGCGGUAUAGCAUACAUCAUGACAACAAAAAAGAGAAAAAAAUAAAAUAAAAAAAUAAAAAAAUAAAAAAAACGUAAACAUAUAUACAAAAACAUAUGAAAAAAACGUAUGCAAAAACAUAGACAAAAAACACAAGAAAAAACAUUAGUUGAUGUAGCAAGCAUAUGCUGUACAUAUAUAUUUUUUUUUUUUUUUUUUUUUUUUUUUUUCAUUUGUUCGCUUUUUUUUUUUUCUUCUUUUUUAGCUCGAUUUAACAUUAAAUUUUAUAAAUAUUUGUACUAUCGAAAAGUCAGUGUCGAACUUAAAAAAAAAUGGAAACCUAAAAGAGCUUUACCUUAUGGGUAACCCUUGUUCAGAUUGGCAAUACCUAAAAUAUUACAUAACAUUUGAAUUAGAACAACUAGAAGUGUUAGAUGGUUGUGAUAUUUUAGUAUCUGACAAGAUAAAGGCAAAGCAAGAAAUUGAAAAUGUGUUAAAAUCAUUAGAAGAAGAAAAAAAUAAAAAUAAAAAAAUAGAAUAUUCUGGUUCAAUUAAUGAAAGAAAAAAAAUGUAUGAAGAAAUUGAGAAAAAAGAAAUGGAAAAACAAAAAGAUAAUAACGAUUCUAAAAAAAAUGAAAAAAAAAAAUUAUCGAUAUAUACAAGUGACGGAAAUAUUCGACAGUGUAAUGAAGGCCACUACAAAUUCAUGUUCGACGAACAUUCAAGUCGGAAGUAUACUUUUUUGAAAAUAUAUGUACCGAAAUAUUUGAGUAACUCUUUAAUAAAAGUUGAUAUAAAUAUUAAUUAUGUCAGGUGUAUAAUUAAGGAUAAGUUGUUUCAAAUAAAAUUAAACGAUUUAAUAUUAACAGAUUUAAGUAAAAUAAUAAGAAAAAAAUAUACUGGUGAGUUGCAAAUAAAACUUAGAAAAAAAAGUUAUAGAAAAAAUAAAACUUUCGAAAAGGUAUAUUAUAACGAAGAGUAUUAUAGUGAGGUAUGGCCAAACGAAGAUAACAAAAAUGUAUUUAACGAUACAAAAAAGAAAUUAUCUAAAUCUAUAUUAUCACCUGCACGUAAUUUAUGUUUUUCGUCUUCUUCUUAUUCGUCGGACUCAUCAACUUCUUCAUUUCCUUUAUGUUUUAACUACCAAAAAACAAACUCUUUCUCUUAUAAAGAACAAAAAAAAAAGAAAAACUCAAGUAGUGGUAAUUUUACUAUACCUAAUAAAAGAGAAGAUGUAUACUGGUUGGAAGAGAAACAAACAACAUAUUCCGAAUCAGUUGUUAGCCAAAUACCGCCUCUUGAAAAAAUAUUAAAAGGUGAUUUUGUAGCAUGACAAAAAGAAACAUGCACGUACACUUAACCCUAAUCGUGAUGAAAAAUGUAACAUACUAUUUAUGUUUGAAAAUAAAAUACGUAUGCUGACACUUGCGCA